Molecule: ribosomal RNA, 492 nt
Filed under: uncultured bacterium
Lineage: Bacteria
Description: bacterial SSU rRNA
Rfam family: Bacterial small subunit ribosomal RNA
Source: RNAcentral
AUUGAACGCUGGCGGCAUGCCUAACACAUGCAAGUCGAACGGUAACAGGCCCUUCGGGGUGCUGACGAGUGGCGGAUGGGUGAGUAAUACUUAGGAAUCCACCCUGUAGUGGGGGACAACCCGGGGAAACUCGGGCUAAUACCGCAUACGCUCUACGGAGGAAAGCGGGGGACCGCAAGGCCUCGCGCUAUUGGAUGAGCCUAAGCCCGAUUAGCUAGUUGGUGGGGUAAUAGCCUACCAAGGCAAUGAUCGGUAGCUGGUCUGAGAGGACGACCAGCCACACUGGGACUGAGACACGGCCCAGACUCCUACGGGAGGCAGCAGUGGGGAAUAUUGGACAAUGGGCGAAAGCCUGAUCCAGCGAUGCCGCGUGUGUGAAGAAGGCCUGCGGGGUUUGUAAAAGCACUUUCAGUAAGGGAAGAAAAUGCUUUGGAGCUAACACCGCCAAGUUUUGACGUUACCUACAGAAGAAGCACCGGCUAACUCCGUGCC